Dermacentor albipictus is the source of this 617-nucleotide non-coding RNA. NCBI's taxonomy places the organism in Eukaryota, Metazoa, Arthropoda, Arachnida, Ixodida, Ixodidae. The record is from RefSeq and is a predicted model, not a curated record.
AUGUACAGAAAUUAUUACUCUGAUGCACAUUUUGGAGGAACGGCGAAGUGCGUCAAGUAUUCAAAGGUUGGAAAAUAUGAAAACUUCACUUCACAAGCCAUUGUCACUUACGCAGGCCAAGGAUCAACGACAGGCCAGCUUAAUCUCGAUUCUGCAGAGUGCUACGUAGCCAAGGACAAGUUCGGCUACAUUCCAGAUGACCCAACACUGCCGCCAAUAUCGUUCUAUCUCAUCUACACGGACUGCGUGACAUGCAGCGUUAUUAGACAUCGAUAUGCUGGGGACGGUUAUGGAUGCACUUAUUGGAGACGUACGGAUGCGCUGCAAACACCAGACGACUGCUGUGAAUUCAUCUAUGCCGAGAAUUGCGGCUUGUCGCCGAAAUACCAGAUCUACGACUCAUCUUGCGGGAAAUAGGGCACGCGUAGUAACCGGUUCCUUUAGUGAAACUAAGCAGGUUGCCAUUUUCUGCUAUCUCUGGAGAUACGUUUUCAGCUAUGAUGUAUUAACAAACACACAAGAAGAGUGGGUGGCAGAUGAACGGUGAAUUCGCGCAGAAGUUCUUACAGUUGAAUGAUACUAGUGCUUAAGGCCCAUCUGCGAACCUUGCAGCGUCA